RNAcentral lists this ribosomal RNA (402 nucleotides) under Bacteroidota bacterium. Its description in RNAcentral is "Bacteroidetes bacterium partial 16S ribosomal RNA". It matches the Rfam family "Bacterial small subunit ribosomal RNA", at positions 355 to 776 of the family's 1533-position model. The record is from RNAcentral. Lineage: Bacteria; Pseudomonadati; Bacteroidota.
UGGGGAAUUUUGCACAAUGGGGGAAACCCUGAUGCAGCGACGCCGCGUGAUUUAGAAGGCCUUCGGGUUGUAAAAAUCUUUUCUAUGGGAAGAAAAUGACAGUACCAUAGGAAUAAGGACCGGCUAAUUACGUGCCAGCAGCCGCGGUAAUACGUAAGGUCCGAGCGUUGUCCGGAAUCAUUGGGCGUAAAGGGUACGUAGGCGGGUAAGCAAGUUAGAAGUGAAAUCCUGUAGCUCAACUACAGUAAGCUUUUAAAACUGCUCAUCUUGAGAUAUGGAAGGGAAAGUGGAAUUCCUAGUGUAGCGGUGAAAUGCGCAGAUAUUAGGAGGAAUACCGGUGGCGAAGGCGACUUUCUGACCAAAAUCUGAAGCUGAGGUACGAAAGCGUGGGUAGCAAACAGG